CAAAAGAGGGCUUUCCUCCAUUUCUAUGGAAGUUCAAAACUCUCUUCCAAGCGCAGCUUUUUCUCUGUAUUAUGAGCUUCUACACAGCGGCCGAGGUGAGAGAAACCACUAGGGAGAUGAAUGAUGAAUGGAUUGGUGAGGUGUCAUACUAGAUGCGCUUUUAUGGAUUGAUUCAAUUUUCUAGGAUGGCACUUUACUUUGUAGUUAAGUUAGUACGAUGUUUGUGUCGGCUUAUUAAUAAGUUACAUAUAUAUAUAUAUAUAUAUAUAUAUAUAUAUAUAUAUAUAUAUAUAUGUUAGAAAAAUUGAGCUUCUACACAGCGGCCGAGGUGAGAGAAACCACUAGGGAGAUGAAUGAUGAAUGGAUUGGUGAGGUGUCAUACUAGAUGCGCUUUUAUGGAUUGAUUCAAUUUUCUAGGAUGGCACUUUACUUUGUAGUUAAGUUAGUACGAUGUUUG
This 457-nucleotide long non-coding RNA is filed under the name Olea europaea (common olive). Its description in RNAcentral is "long non-coding RNA (OEUR_LNC007661)". Lineage: Eukaryota; Viridiplantae; Streptophyta; Magnoliopsida; Lamiales; Oleaceae. The record is from RNAcentral.